GGGGUUAUAGCUCAGCGAUAGGUAGAGCGCUUGCCUUACACACAUGAGGCACUGGGUUCAAUCCUCAGCACCCCA
Molecule: transfer RNA, 75 nt
Filed under: Ictidomys tridecemlineatus (thirteen-lined ground squirrel)
Lineage: Eukaryota; Metazoa; Chordata; Mammalia; Rodentia; Sciuridae
Description: Spermophilus tridecemlineatus (thirteen-lined ground squirrel) tRNA
Rfam family: tRNA
About the family: Transfer RNA (tRNA) molecules are approximately 80 nucleotides in length. Their secondary structure includes four short double-helical elements and three loops (D, anti-codon, and T loops). Further hydrogen bonds mediate the characteristic L-shaped molecular structure. tRNAs have two regions of fundamental functional importance: the anti-codon, which is responsible for specific mRNA codon recognition, and the 3' end, to which the tRNAs corresponding amino acid is attached (by aminoacyl-tRNA synthetases). tRNAs cope with the degeneracy of the genetic code in two manners: having more than one tRNA (with a specific anti-codon) for a particular amino acid; and 'wobble' base-pairing, i.e. permitting non-standard base-pairing at the 3rd anti-codon position.
Source: Rfam by way of RNAcentral